AUGAUACUCCCUCCUUCCGAAAAUACUUGUUGGAGAAAUGGAUAAAAAUGGAUGUAUCCAAAACUAAAAUACAUCUAGAUACAUCCAUUUCUCCGACAUGUAUUUCUGUACGAAGGGAGCAUUUU
Molecule: non-coding RNA, 125 nt
Organism: Triticum aestivum (bread wheat)
Lineage: Eukaryota; Viridiplantae; Streptophyta; Magnoliopsida; Poales; Poaceae
Source: Rfam